CGAUAUUUUCAACCGAUAUUAUAGAUAUAUUAAAUAGAUUAGAUUAUCAAAUUCGAUAUUUUUUCAUAUUUCGCAUCAUGAUUUUGACCUCACGAAACAUAUUAUACUCUGGUUCCAUUAGUGGAAAAUGCUGAUUUAGCGGACUAUAAAAUAAAUUUUGAAAUUCUACACAUCGAAAAUAAAAUGUUAUGACUCAAUCUUGCUGAAAGCUCAAGAAAUAAAUAGACAUAAUAAAAUUGUAAUCAAAUCCAACGGCCGUAGUUAAAUAUCUUUUUUUCUGUACCUAAACGUCCUAAACCAUUUAUCAUUAUUAUGCAAUAAGAAGCAUUUUCAAUAACUAUUUUGCAAACUACUAGAAAUGUUGUUUUCAACUGAAUCUGGUCACGAUAAAUCAGGAUUUUUGGCUAAUGGAACUAAAGCAAUCAAUCUUGCUGACAGUUAUUCAGCGGCCGUUUUCAAAUAUCUUUCUGCACAUAAACGUCCUAAACCAUUUAUUGGUUAUUGCUGGAAUCAGUGUGACCAUAUUUAGUAGAAAUCUACUUUUUUAGUAGAUUUUUCGCAUUUUCAUGGAAUUUUUAAUAGGAAGAAAUCAUUUGGUAGGUUUUAGUAGUUUUAAAAAUCUAACCAAGGCAGUUGAGAAUUCGGAUGUCGACUGUUCAAUUCAUUGUUCAUUGAGGUUUUACGUUCUGCGUGAUUCUAGAAGAACGAAUCUACUUAAACAUAAUAAAAUCAUAAAACUUCUUUGGUGGCUGUCGGCUGAGAAUAAAUAAAAAGAAUGAUGGAGAACUCGAAGGGUACCUCAUUAAAAACAGAUGGUGUUUACUUCAGUUGAAAAUAUACCACUAUCUCACAUUUGGUAUUCUAUUCAGUGGAAAAAAAAAUGUAACUGGAAUUUAAUUUCAUUGAAAAAAUUUGAGUGGCUGAAUAUUUCAGAUUCAAAUAUAUUCAUUUCAAAUAGCCAAAUCGUUUUUUUGAUAACCUUUAUUCUAUACAGAAUUUUAACUUCAUUUUGAAAAUCUUCCAUAAAAUUGGGAGCAAAGCAAACUACUAAAAAUGUUGUUUUCAACUGAAUCUAGUCACGAUAAAUAAGAAUUUUCGACUAAUGAAACUAGAGCAUUAAUGUUUCGUGUGGUACAAAUCAUAAUGCGAAAUAUUGAAAAAUAUCGAAUUUGACACUAUUAAAUAAAUAUCGAAUAAUUUCUAUAUGUAGCAGUUUUGAAAUUCUACUUAUCGAAAAUAAAAAGUUAUAACACUAUCUUGCUAUUUAAAAGUUCCAGAAAUAAUUGCACACAAUAAAAUUGGAAUAUUAUUCAAAGGCUGUUUUCAAAUAUCUUUUUGUACCUAAACGUCCUAAACCAUUUAUUGGUUAUUGGAAUUCCCAAGGUUCCUUGUAACAAUCUGUACUAUUUUCAAUUUUGAAUUCUACAUAUUGAAAAUAAAACUUAUGACUUAAUCCUCCUAAUUGCUUUAGAAAUAUAUUGACACAAUAAAAUUUAAAUAUAAGAAGUGAAGAAAGGGCCGCUAUAUCUUUGAGUAAAUCAUUUAUUCCUGGAAUUUCCAAUAUCGUUUGAAACCUACCCUAUAGUUGUCUAUAUAAGUAAUAUUUUCAUUUUGAAAAUUUCAGUAGUUACGCAAAAGGUAUAGCAGAAAGCUUCGUGUUUUACUUCAUUCGACUAGUUCAUUGAGUAUAAUAUUGAGUUUCGGUUAAUCGAAAGUUGGAAGUUCGUUAUUUUGAUUGUGUUUUUUGGUGUUUUGCUUUUUUAUUAUUCAAAGUAUCAUGUCUGCGGUGUGGAAGUUUUUCAAAAGAAAUGAAAAUAGCGAAUCUGCUUCAUGUAAAAUAUGUGGAAAGUCAUACAAAACUAAGGGAAAAACCACAAAUUUAGCUACACAUCUUAGAUUGAAGCAUCAUUUUGCAUAUGUGCAAAUGAUGAACCAUCAGGUUCAUUGAAAAAUAAAUGUAGAGAUGUAUUAAAAGAUGCUACGGAUAAGUCGGUGUCAGAUUUGGACGAAAAAAGUGUUGAUGUAAGUCAUGAAUCCAUUCUAAUAUUGCAAAAAUUGAAUACUAGUUUUGAAUUUUGAAUAUCUUAUAAGUUCUUUUUUUUAAUUCUCUAAUUUCAAGGCUUCUUUGCCAAGUACAUCAACAAAUUCUUCUGAUGAUUCCCAAUUCUGCAUGCCACCUGCAAAAAAAAAGGUAGCAAUCCACUUUGAUGAGUUGUUUCGAGAGGGGUUCAAGCUUUGCAGAAGGCGGACAGAAAUAUGAGGAAAUAACUGAAGCAUUAGUAUAUAUGAUAUGCAAGGACAAUAUGCCUCUGUCUUGUGUUGAAAAAAAGCACUUACAGAAGUUAAUGCGCACUAUCAGCCCACUUUGUAAACUUCCUUCCAGAAAAAAAGGUAACUCAUUUGGUCGAAACAAGAUAUGACACCACGAAAGAGAUUAUCAUAAAAAUUUUGGAUAAUAUAUCAUUUUCAAGCUUCACAAGUGACAUUCUGACACUCAUGAAUUCAACAAGGAGUUUCUUAGUGUUGACGGUACAUUUCAUUGAUACUCUAAAGGAGUCACCGGUCCUUGGGAGUAUCAAUCUUUGUGCUGUGAAACUUUCUGAGGCUCAUUCAGGAAAUUACAUAAAAGAGUGUUGGAAAGACAUUUGUGGAGAAUUUAAUAUUGAUACAACAAAAAUUGUUUCAAUUACCACAGAUGGCGGCUCUAAUAUGGUGGCUACGGUCAGAUUGUUCGUAGGUGAAGAUCAUAGGAUACCGUGUAUGGCUCACCUCUUGAACUUGAACAGUUGAUGGGGUGCUAAGAGAAGUGAGUGCUUUUUCAGCACUCUGCGAUAAGGUGAAAGAUAUCGUUACUUUUUUUAAACAGUCGGUAAAUGCAAUGGAUCAAUUACGAUCUGAACAAGAAGCAACUGGAAAAAAAGAAGGGGAGGUGUUAACAUUAACACAAGCAGUCAGCACCAGAUGGAAUUCUUGUUAAGAUAUGCUGGAACGAUUCGUGAAGUUGUCAGCUUUUGUAGCUAAAAUUUGAGCUACAAAAAGUCAGUCGAAUAAAAAUACACCAGAUAUGGUUGCAAGUUCACAACUUCAUGUGAUCCGUGAUAUAAUUGCUCUUCUUGGUCCAUUCAAAGAACCCACGGACGAAAUAAGUGGUAGCAAUUAUGUCACAUCAAGUUUAGUUAUUCCACUUUCUAAUUUAUUACUUCAAGUAACAGACCAAGCAGCUCCAUCAACUCCAGUAGGGAUAAUUGUAAAAGAAUCUCUACUGAAAAAAAAAUCAAAGAAAGACUAGCUCCUUUAGAGAAAAAUGCCUUCCUCUCCAUAGCCACCAUUUUGGACCCCCGAUUCAAGAAAAUUCACUUCAAUUCUCCAAUAGCAGUCAGUGGCAAAUGCUAUAUCAAAAGUGGGAAGUGAAAUUCAUAUAGAGCAUUAGCGAAGAGGCCGCAGUGUUCUCCAAAAUCAUGUCAAGUCGUCGAAGAAGAACCUAAUGAGUCUUCUAUUUGGAGCAGACAUGAAUUACUAUUAACUCGUAAUUCUACUCCGCACGAGUUUUCAAAUUCUGGCUCCAUCCAUAGCGAAUUAAAACAGUAUUUGGACCAACCACUAUUGGAGAGGAAGGCCGAUCCAAAAAAAUUCUGGAAGAAUUGUGAGAAUUUCACUCCAGUUCUUUCAGAAAUAGCACUAAAAUAUUUGAUAUGUCAAGCUUCCUCAGUCGCUUCUGAAAGGGUUGCCUCAGCGGUAAAUAUAUCCGUUCCGGAUAGCAGAAGCCGAAUGACAGGGGAGCGCGUCAAACAAAGAGUGCUUCUGAUGUCAAUACCAGAAGAAUACUGGUUUCAGUAAAAUGUUGAUGAUUUUUUUGUGUUAUUCAUAAUAAAAAUAAUGUUGAA
Molecule: long non-coding RNA, 3884 nt
Organism: Harmonia axyridis
Lineage: Eukaryota; Metazoa; Arthropoda; Insecta; Coleoptera; Coccinellidae
Exons: 4
Source: RefSeq, a predicted model, not a curated record